Molecule: long non-coding RNA, 4539 nt
Filed under: Marmota monax (woodchuck)
Lineage: Eukaryota; Metazoa; Chordata; Mammalia; Rodentia; Sciuridae
Source: RNAcentral
UAGAAUUUGUUUUACUGUUCUUAAGUCCUUAAAUAAGAAAAAUUGAUCCUCUGGGUAACGUGUUUCUCGUGAGGCUCCACAAUCCCUGCCCCAUUGCAGUUGCUUGCUGUGUGUGGACAUGGACUUUCUACCUAAUCUGCCAGUAGCCUCAGGCAGUCAGUUCAGCACCUGGGGCAGGGGCCUGAGGCAGGAGUACCACCGUUCUCGACCUGCCUGGGCAACUUAGUGAGACCCUGUCUCAAAAAGUGAAAAGAUAGGUGAUAGAACACUCCUCUCCAGGUUCAAUCCUCUGUAGCACCAGAAGGGAAUUUUGUGUUCCAGCAAUGGCGUAUCCAGAUGUGCAGCGGAAGGCCAUCUGGGAGGCUCAGGUAUGAGGUGUAAAGCAUAAGGAAAAGUCAUGACAAGCUCGCUACAGACAGGCUUCUAAGGGCCUUGAGUAAUGCCAACAGCGUGGUCUGGAAUUCCCUGUGGGGCAGUGGUUCUCAGCUGGUUCACUGGCAGUGACUGCAGGAGGUUUGUGGCAAGUAGAGCACAAGACAGCAUUCCAGAAUCUGUGCGGCUGCCAUAGAGAACCCACCGGUUAAGGUCUGGAGAGGUACUGGACAGGGCUGGAAAAGGAAAAGGAAAAGAUGGAGACAGGCCAGUUAAGUUUGGUGGUGUGGCUUCAUGUCCUGCAUUGGAUCCUCUAAACUGCAUCCUCUAGCUGGGAGCUGGAGUGGAAUGACCUUGGCCUGAUCAGUCCCAGGGUGGGGAGGGGAGGGCAGCUCCCUGGCUUGACAGGGAUUGGGUAUUAAGGAAUGUCAGUGUACUUUCAAAGGGUCUCCUUUGCCUCCCAAGUAGUUUUUCCAUAUUUGUGCUUCAUACUAGUUUAAAAGGAAGCUGUUCAUUCCAGUAGUGAAAUAAGAGACUAACUGGAGGUGACAGUCAUGUUAGUGGGAGAGACUGUAAGGAUGACAGGCUAACAAUGGGAAAAGAUUGUUGUCUAAGGCAUUUGUAUUAGUGAGUUGGAUGGCAAAAGAGGUGGUGACAUUCCAGAGUUCAGAGCAGCUGUGGUCCCUUUCCUGUUCUGAGGCCGUCUAGGGCAGGUGGAGGAAGCUUUGGAAUCUGCACUGGGGGCCAAGUAGUUGCACAACUUGAGAGUCAAUCCUCUGAAUUUUCCAACUUCAGAAACACUUAGCAUUUUCGGAGGGAUUUCUGUGUGCUGAAUACAGUGGGAGUGAUGGGGUAGCAGUUCCUGCGUUCAGAAGGUUGCUAGGAAACAGGGUGCGCCCUCCUCCAGGGACCACAGUUCCCUGCAGAAGCUCUGUUCAGGACAUCGCAGGCCUCAGGUGUGUGAUUCACAAGUUGUUUAUUAAGGCAGAUUUUGUUGUUGCUGUUUUUGUUUUGGCUUGGUUUUUACUGAUCAGUAUUAGCUUUUGUGGUCUCAUAUUUCCUUCGUAUUCUCCUUGAGGUUUCUUUUACCCUAGGCUUCAGUGUCAUACUCAAGUGUACACUCCCUUAGAAUUGUCCCCCUCAGAUCUGAAGUCUCAUGCCUGCAAGUUAGCUUGUAUCUUGAGUGUCAUUGAAAUUCCUCUUGUUGUCUAUUUUCUGCUCAUUAGCUAAGGAGCCUGCCUUCUUGGUCUGAGAACCUGAAAUUCACUGCAAUUAAAAUGCCCAGUGAUUUCUUGCUUUUUCUGAGAAAUCAUCCUUGCCCUUUGACCCAGUGACUCCAGACUUUAAACCCUAAGGACAGUAGACUGUUUUUAUCAACUGUGUGACUUGCAGAUAUUUUCUGCUGCAGUCUGGCUGGGCACAAAAUAACCGAGCCACCACAAAAGCCUUGUAGAUUCAAACAGCAACUCUUUAUUCCCGAACUCUCACCGGCACUCUGCACACACGUUCUCGGAAAAAUACACUCCAUUCACCGGGCUCUGCGUACCCAUUCUCUCAGAACCCGCGAGAACUCAAGGAGUGGGCACCUGAGGCAGCAGGAUACGCCCUAUUCCCAGCAGGAUCCACCCUAAACCUGGAGCCACCCUAAUCCCUGAGCAGGGUCACCUUAACCAAAAAUGCCAUGUCAUUCCUACUUGGCUAUGGCUCUCAGCAAUUUUCUCCUAUUCUGUGGGUUCUUUUCACUUUCUUAGUGGUAUCCUUCGAAGCACAGAAGUUUUUUUUUUUUCUUUUUUUUUUCCCCCAGAGUGGGACAUCGCACCCAGGACCUUGUAUGUGCUAGGCAAGUACUCUACCACUGAGUUGCACUCCCAUCCGCGAAGUUUCUAACUUUGAUGAAGUCCAGUUUGUCUUUUAUGUGUAACUUAUCUGAGACAGGGUUGCAGAGAUUUAUGCCAGUGUCCUUUCUAAGCGUUUCAUGGAUUUUGCUCUAAAAGUUACAUCUUUGACCCAUUUAUAUUACUUUUGGAAUAUGUAAUGAGGAGGGUCCAAUUUCAUUUUUUUGCGUAUAAAUAUCCAGUUGUACCAGCAACAUUUGUUGAAAAUACUAUUGUUUCCCCCAAUUGAAUUAUCCUGUCACCCUUACAAAAACUUAACUGCUAUAAGUGUAAUAAGGAUUUAUAUCUGGAAUUUUUGAAAAAAAUUUUUUCUGCUUGGCACAGUGUUGUAUACCUGUACCAGUAACUUGGAGGGCUGAGGCAGGAGGAUCACAAAUUGAAAGCCAGACUCAAUAACUUAGUAAGAUCCUAAGCAACUCAGUGAGACAACUCAUUGAGACCCUGUCUCCAAACAAAAUAUUAAAAAGGGCUAGGGAUGUGGCUCAGUGGUUAAGAACCCCUGGGUUCAAUCUUCUGGUACCAAAAAAUUAAAAAAUAAAAACAAAAUAAGUUUAAGAUUUAUUUUUCUUUAAGUUAUGUUUUCUGUGCUGGGGAUUGACCUAGGACCUCAUGCAUGCUAGGCAAGCACUGUAUUAUUGAGCUACAUCCCCUGCUCUGGUUUCUUAACCUUAUUCUAUUUUUCUAUAUGCCUAGUUUUAUGCCAGUAUGACACUGUCCUUGAGAACUGUAACUUUGUAGUCAGUAUACACCCUCGACUUUGUUCCUCCUUUUUAAGAUUGAUUUAUUCUGGUUCCUUAUAUUUCUGUAUGAACUUUAAUAUCAGCUUGUCAGUUUCUGUAAAAAUACUAUACAUAAUUUUGAAAGGGCUUGUGUUGACUCUCUAGUUCAGUUUGGAGGUGUGUAUAGUAAUAAUAGGGAACUUAAAUACCCUCAUUUUCAUUAAUGGAUCCAGAUAGAAAAUCAGAAGGGAAACAUUGGACUUGAACUAUACUUGGAGCUGACCAAUAUAUACAACCCCACCUCCAGCAACAACAGAAACACAUUCUUUUCAUGUGUAUUGGAACUUUCUCCAGGAUAGAUUAUAUAAGGCCACAAAACAAUCUUAACAAAUUAAAGAAGGUUGAAAUCAUAUCAAGUACCUUUUUAGACCACAUGGUAUGAAACUACAAGUCAGUAAUAAAAGAAAACUGGAAAAUUCACAAUUAUGUAGAUAUUAAACAACCUCCUCCUCCUGAACAACCAGUGGAUCAAAGAGGACAUUUUAGAAAAUCUCACAACAAAUGAAAAUUUAAAUACAACAUACCAAAACCUUGUGGGUUGUAGGGAAAGCAAUUCCAAGAGGGAAUUUGUAGUGGUAAGUGCCUACUGUCUUAGUCUGUUUGGUUUACUACAAUGAAACAUCAUAGACUGGUAUUUCUCAUAGUUCUGAGGCAGGGAAGUCCAAAGUGUGGAAGCCAGCAAGUUUGGUGUCUGGUGACUCCAAAACCCACUUUCGGAUUCAUGGAUGACAGCUUUGUUCUGUGUCCUCACAUGGUGGGAGUGGUGGGACAGCUCUCUGGGGUCACUUUCAUAAAGAUACUAGUCCUGGGGACCUCAUCACUUCCCAAAGGUCUCCCAACAGCAUCCCAUUGCUGACUAGGUUUCAACACAUGAAUUUGGGGCUUGGGGAUGAUAUUCAGACAAUAACACCUGCCUAACAAAAAGAUCUCAAACAACUCAAGUGCCUAGGAGAAGCACCAUGAAAGCCCAAAGUUGGUAGAAGGAAGGAAAUAGAAAAACCUAAUAAAGCUGUGAAAUAAGCUGGGAAAAAUACAAAAGAUUAAGAGUUGAUUUAAAAAAAAAAAGUUUUAAAAAAUUGACAAAUCUUUAGCAAGACCUAAGAAAAUCAGAAGUGAGAGAAGACAUAAUACUACAGAAAUACAAAGGAUCAAUGAAGGAUUACUCUGAACAAUCACCUGCCAACAAAUUGGAUUACCUGGAAGAAACAAAUUCCUAGAAACAUACUCUGUCAGGGCCAAGUCAUAACAAAAUGGAAUACCCAAACAAUUCAACUCAUGUGGGAGACUGACUCUGGAACCAGCAGCUGUCUAGGAAAAGUCCGGAGGGCUCUAUUGGUGAAUUUAGCCAAACAUUCAAAGAAUCAACACUGAUCCUUCUAAAACUCUUACAAAAAAAUGAAGAUGAGGGAAUAUUUUCAAAGGCCAACAUUACUCACUUACCAAAACCAAGAAUGCUACAAGGAAAAAACAAACCAAAACACGUUCUAAACUAA